CCUACGGGUGGCAGCAGUGGGGAAUAUUGGGCAAUGGGCGCAAGCCUGACCCAGCAACGCCGCGUGAAGGAAGAAGGCUUUAUGGUUUUAAACUUCUUUUGUUAGGGAAGAGUAGCAGACUGUACCUGACGCCUAAGCCACGGCUAACUACUUACCAGCAGCCGCGGUAAUACGUAGGUGGCAAGCGUUUUCCGGAUUUACUGGGUGUAAAGGGCGUGUAGGCGGGUUGACAAGUCAGAUGUGAAAUCCUGCGGCUUAACCGCAGAACUGCAGUUGAAACUGUUGGUGUUGAGUACAGGAGAGGCAGACGGAAUUCGUGGUGUAGCGGUGAAAUGCGUAGAUAUUAGGAGGAACACCAGUGGCGAAGGCAGUCUGCUGGACUGCAACUGACGGUGAGGCGCGAAAGCGUGGGGAGCAAACAGGAUUAGAUACCCGUGUAGUC
RNAcentral lists this ribosomal RNA (442 nucleotides) under uncultured bacterium. Its description in RNAcentral is "partial 16S ribosomal RNA". It matches the Rfam family "Bacterial small subunit ribosomal RNA", at positions 338 to 795 of the family's 1533-position model. The record is from RNAcentral.